RNAcentral lists this small nuclear RNA (164 nucleotides) under Vulpes vulpes (red fox). Its description in RNAcentral is "U4 spliceosomal RNA (ENSVVUG00000023186.1)". Lineage: Eukaryota; Metazoa; Chordata; Mammalia; Carnivora; Canidae. The record is from RNAcentral.
AGCUUUGUACAGUGGCAGUAUCAUAGCCAAUGAGGUUUAUCCAAGUCACGAUUAUUGCUAAUCAAUGGGGUAGGGCUGAAGCAGGUGGCCUAGAAAGGCUGAUGUUGGUGAUGUGCUAAAUUCCAUAUUCUUGUGGAAGUAGACUUCAAAUGCAAAUUAUCUUG